UUAUUUAGAAGACACAGUUAAGAGGGACGAACACAGCAAAAUAAAUUUGUACCAAAAGCAAAUUUAAUUGUACACCUUUCUUUUCAUAAAAUGUGUGUAUUGUAAUAUUUUAACACGUGUAGCUUUCUUUCUCUGCAUAAUACAUCUGUACUAUAUUUACCCAUCUAAACCCUAUUACUGAAGAAGAACCGACCAUUUAUUUCUCUCAAAGCCGGUGGUGAAAGAGGAUUAGAAAUUUCUUCCUAUUCAGAUUUGUUAAUGCUUUUUUGGUCCAAACAUAUUUCAAUCCAGAUGAACACUGGCAAGUCCUUGAAGUUGCUCAUCGAAUCUCAUUUGGAUGUGGACAUUUGACGUGGGAAUAGGAAAAGGGUAUAAGGAGUUAUCUUCAUCCAGUGAUAUUUGCUGGAUUGUAUAAAGUUCUUGCCCUUUUUCAUCUUGACAAACCUUGUUUCAUGGUAAGAAUUGUAUAUCCUGGUUGCCUACCUAAUGUAUCAAAUAAUGGUAGAGAAGCAGCUUCAAAGACAAGGUAAGAUUAUACAUGUAAUGGCUUAUGUGAGCAAAUUUUUUUUGACAUGUUCGAAACUACCUUAUUCUGCUUCUUUUUGUAAUUUAAUUCUGUCACUUUUCUUCUCAGAUGAACUUUGUUUUAACAACAUGAACUCGAUAAUUAUUUGUAGAUGUCUACAUCUUUAUGGGUUUGGCAUUUGUUGAAGAACUUUUCUUUCACAUUAUGAAAUUUUAGUAUAUAUUUUGACCUUAUAGUCUAAACUGAAAAGACGCUGAUAUUUUAUAUUUAGGCGAAAACAUUUUUAUGUUUAGGCAAACUUGAUUCGAAUCCUUUUUAAUCAUCUAGAUUUUUCCGUCUUAAAUGUUGUUCACCGUGAAUAAAGUACUGACAAUUGAAUGCAUUGAUGAAGCACCGAUAUUUUUCUUAAUUGUCUUCCACAAUUUUUCUUGGAUUCUUGUGAGUUCUGACAGAUGUCUCUUAAAAUACAUUCAUAAUUUUGUUGUCAAUAUUAUGCAGGUCUAGCUCUAAAAUACUAAAAAUUAGUAGUAUUUUCUUAUCAAUAUAUGAUACUUUUUGUAGAUAAGUAAUGGCUUGAUGUGGUCACAUGUUUGACGAAUUUUCCCAGUGAAGGUAUAACUUGUGUAUUAUGAAGAGAGAUUAGUUACAUGAGUUGAUUUUGUUGGUGGAAUGAAGUUGAACGGUGGGCUUAGAUGAAUAGACAUUUUCCUCUAUAAUAUCUGUUUUUCAUAUGGUAUUUUUCCCCAAUAAAAUGAGUAAUUUUUAUAUGUUAAAGGUUUCUGCUUUGGAGUGAUUUUAUUUUCCUGUGAUGUCACAACUUUAAGGUAAUUAUUGAGAAAGAAUCUGAGUUGCCGAAUUUUUUGAUGCUGCCAUGAAAUAAGAAGUUAUAUGGUAAUGCUAAAAAUUCAGGGUAAGCUUUCACUAUUGAUCUUUUUGUUGGUUGAAGUUGAACUACAUUUUCGAAAAAAUUCAGCUACUAAUAUAGUUAGCUGAGGUGGUUUUCAAAAAAAAUUGUUUUAAAUUACAAAGUCAGAAAUAACAAACAGGUUGAAUCAGGCGAAAAUGUUGAUUUCAGGCUCUCCAAUCUCCAAGUCCUCUAAGGUACCAUUCCCAUUUUCUUAAGAAGCUUUAAACUUUUUGGCCGUUUUCUUUUGACAACUGAAUUUUUUUCGCUAUUCUGUGUUAUUUAUUGAUAAUGGCCCUUGAUGUUGGUGUUGAAUUUAUUUUUUAGCAGUUCUUGGAUAAAAUCUGAAACAUUAAUAUUGAAAAUUCUAUUACUACAUUGAGUUCUACAAGUCUGUCAUAUGAUCUUAUACUUUCUCAAAGUUUCUGCCUCAUGUGUUCAUAUUAGUUAAGAUGCAAUUGAUGAUGUUAGAAAUUUUUUUCAUCUGAUCAAUAAAAAAAAUGAAAAUAAGAAAUCUAGCAAACAAGUAACAAUGUUGAUGCUAGAAUUUUUUUUUUGAGAAAUGAGAGUAAUAAAAUGUCCACUUAAUGGAAGAAUCCUAUAAGACUAACACUUUUCUUUAAUCUGGAGUUUGUUGCUCAAGAGUAGCUACUAUUCAAGUUGCUUCUGAUAACUCUAGAUAAGUUCACAAAAUAAAGAAUUAAUAAUGACGAUUUCAAGUACUAAAUUAGAUAGUUCAAUUUGAAAAUAUUGUCUAAAAUCCACAAAACAAAUCCGCUAUGAAAUUCUUAUCAUUGAAUACAAUUUACAGAUUGUCGUUUAGUUUCUUUUUCUCUCAAUCUGUUUCAGGGGUAAGGGGAUGAAAUACAGAGAACAACCAUAUUGAAACAAAGUUUGUUUUUUUGCAGCUGAUGUCUGUUGAGUUUCCGUGCUUGACGUUAUUUCGAUUUGUUUUACUAUUCAUGAAUAUGAAUAAGAUAAUUUUCUAGAUUUAUAUUAGAAAGUACUUGACCUACUAAUAAUUAUUUAUGUUCGACAAAUGUUCGAUAGAACUUUGAGUGCAUCACUGAUGAAAAUAAGUAGAAUGUUUAUGGUACUUAUAUGUAGGUAUCUGCUUAUGGGAAGAGGAAAAUCACGACUCGCAAAAAUGCAAGUGAUAUGAUUAAGCUUAGUAGAAUUGUUGUCGCAAAAGUAAUACAAUUUUUUGUUGUAUUUGAACUCACUUUGUUGAACAAGACACAAGUACUACUUGAUAUUUUCAAAUAUACAUAUAUCCCUUUUCAGUAGAUAACACAUGCUCCAUUUGCUACUUACCAGAGAUACAACUAUGAUCACCUCCGUUCAUCAUCUUUGUCAUUUACCUAGAAGAUUAGAAGCAACUUUCAAAAUCUUCAGGAAUUUGUGGUCUUAAUCCAAUGUUGGCGGGGUGAAAUGAUUGAUUCGAAAUUCAUCGAGGAGUUACUAAGCUUGGUUCUUGAAGAUGCAUGCGUUUCUCGACUUGUGCAUGUUAUUUUUAUCCGAUUCUACCGUUGCGGGAGAGUUGAUUCAGGUUCUUAACAUGCUUUUUUCUACAUCUCUUUUCUUUUAAUAUUAACAGAGCUACACAUUAUUCUCGCCAAGUUUAUUUUUCCACAAGAAAUAGAAACAUUAAGUUUUUAGCACACAAUUUUUAUAUGAUACUUUUAUUUUUCUGCUUAUCGUGAUUUGUAAAUUUCCUUAGUCGGAGAAGGUUACUGAUUUUUGUUUCAAUAUGAAUAAGGAUUGUAAACCAGUUCUCUUUGUUGAAUUUUUUCCUAGGUGAGACAAAUGCAUUUUUUUUAUUCUAUAGCCGUCUACUUUAAUUUUUGUAGCCUUCUUAAUUUCAAGUUUCUUCAGUUGAUUAUCUUUCACUUUUUUACUAGCUUCUUGAAGGUAUCUCAUAAUAGCUUCUUACUAUGUGGUUUAUGGAAUAGCCAAGGUUGGUUAUAGAAUACCUAGCAGUGCCUAGCAGUGCAGUGUAGCUCAACUUAUUGAAAUGAUAAAUCAACACACAUUUGAAGAUACAUAUAUUCGAUGUCUCAUAGUAUUUUUGAUAAUGUACUUGUAUUUUUACUUGUAGAAGAUAACUAUCUUAUUAAGCACAAUGAUACACAGAACAAAUAUUUUCAUA
Solanum pennellii is the source of this 3579-nucleotide long non-coding RNA. RefSeq lists it as uncharacterized. Lineage: Eukaryota; Viridiplantae; Streptophyta; Magnoliopsida; Solanales; Solanaceae. The record is from RefSeq and is a predicted model, not a curated record. The transcript is spliced from 6 exons.